RNAcentral lists this ribosomal RNA (509 nucleotides) under uncultured bacterium. RNAcentral describes it as "bacterial SSU rRNA". It matches the Rfam family "Bacterial small subunit ribosomal RNA", at positions 21 to 518 of the family's 1533-position model. The record is from RNAcentral.
GGUUCAGGAUGAACGCUAGCUACAGGCUUAACACAUGCAAGUCGAGGGGCAGCAUGAUCUUAGCUUGCUAAGAUUGAUGGCGACCGGCGCACGGGUGAGUAACGCGUAUCCAACCUUCCCCUUAGUAGGGCAUAGCCCGUAGAAAUGCGGAUUAAUACCCUAUGUUGUAUAUUGAGGACAUCUGAUUUAUACCAAAGGUUCACCGCUAAGGGAUGGGGAUGCGUCUGAUUAGGUAGUCGGCGGGGUAACGGCCCACCGAGCCUACGAUCAGUAGGGGUUCUGAGAGGAAGGUCCCCCACAUUGGAACUGAGACACGGUCCAAACUCCUACGGGAGGCAGCAGUGAGGAAUAUUGGUCAAUGGACGAGAGUCUGAACCAGCCAAGUAAGCGUGCAGGAUGACGGCCCUAUGGGUUGUAAACUGCUUUUAUACGGGGAUAAAGUGAGGGACGUGUCCCUUUUUGUAGGUACCGUAUGAAUAAGGACCGGCUAAUUCCGUGCCAGCAGCCGC